This 253-nucleotide ribosomal RNA is filed under the name uncultured bacterium. RNAcentral describes it as "partial 16S ribosomal RNA". It matches the Rfam family "Bacterial small subunit ribosomal RNA", at positions 524 to 776 of the family's 1533-position model. The record is from RNAcentral.
UACGGGGGGGGCAAGCGUUAAUCGGAAUUACUGGGCGUAAAGCGUGCGCAGGCGGCUAUGCAAGACAGAUGUGAAAUCCCCGGGCUUAACCUGGGAACUGCAUUUGUGACUGCAUGGCUAGAGUACGGUAGAGGGGGAUGGAAUUCCGCGUGUAGCAGUGAAAUGCGUAGAUAUGCGGAGGAACACCGAUGGCGAAGGCAAUCCCCUGGACCUGUACUGACGCUCAUGCACGAAAGCGUGGGGAGCAAACAGG